RNAcentral lists this ribosomal RNA (404 nucleotides) under Actinomycetes bacterium. Its description in RNAcentral is "Actinobacteria bacterium partial 16S ribosomal RNA". It matches the Rfam family "Bacterial small subunit ribosomal RNA", at positions 355 to 776 of the family's 1533-position model. The record is from RNAcentral. Lineage: Bacteria; Bacillati; Actinomycetota; Actinomycetes.
UGGGGAAUAUUGGACAAUGGGCGCAAGCCUGAUCCAGCCAUGCCGCGUGAGUGAUGAAGGCCCUAGGGUUGUAAAGCUCUUUCACCGGUGAAGAUAAUGACGGUAACCGGAGAAGAAGCCCCGGAUAACUUCGUGCCAGCAGCCGCGGUAAUACGAAGGGGGCUAGCGUUGUUCGGAUUUACUGGGCGUAAAGCGCACGUAGGCGGACUUUUAAGUCAGGGGUGAAAUCCCGGGGCUCAACCCCGGAACUGCCUUUGAUACUGGAAGUCUUGAGUAUGGUAGAGGUGAGUGUAAUUCCGAGUGUAGAGGUGAAAUUCGUAGAUAUUCGGAGGAACACCAGUGGCGAAGGCGGCUCACUGGACCAUUACUGACGCUGAGGUGCGAAAGCGUGGGGAGCAAACAGG